RNAcentral lists this ribosomal RNA (254 nucleotides) under uncultured bacterium. RNAcentral's name for it is "partial 16S ribosomal RNA". It matches the Rfam family "Bacterial small subunit ribosomal RNA", at positions 524 to 776 of the family's 1533-position model. The record is from RNAcentral.
UACGUAGGGUGCGAGCGUUGUCCGGAAUUAUUGGGCGUAAAGAGCUCGUAGGCGGUCUGUCGCGUCGGUCGUGAAAACUUGGGGCUUAACCCUGAGCUUGCGGUCGAUACGGGCAUGACUGGAGUUCGGCAGGGGAGACUGGAAUUCCUGGUGUAGCGGUGAAAUGCGCAAAUAUCAGGAGGAACACCGGUGGCGAAGGCGGGUCUCUGGGCCGAUACUGACGCUGAGGAGCGAAAGCGUGGGGAGCGAACAGG